UUCUUUUAUAUAUCGGAUAAAGGGAUUACAUUUGUUCUCCGAGUUUUUAUAGAAGCCCCAUCGCUAUCACCAUCACUAUUUUGAUUUUUCCAAGAUGGCCGUUUUUGUUUCGCGAACGUUCUGCGAGGAGAGUUCGGCGACUUGCGUGACUUACGAACAGAACUGCCUAAUUGUACCUACAAUUGAGUAAAUUGUUUUAGAGGAGGGGAUGCCCAGCUUCAGCAGCUUCAAUGUGCGAGGAACACUCCAGCCCCCUCAACAAAGCUGGAGGUGCGGAUAGAGUUGAGAUUUCAACUGACUAAUGAAUGCUGCAUCGGAUGUUAUGCAGUAUGCCACUUGUGCCUGGACAAUGGAAGAUGAUGCAAAGGCCAAAAGAAAGCUACUCUGCAUCUGCACUCUGAAUAAUGUGAUGUCUCGGUAGCUACACAUGCUUUGUUAAAGGGAAGUUUAUUUCGCCACUUGCUAGGCAUCAUUGAGCAAGGUGAUCAUGCAGACGGCGACGCAAUGAAGCGUGGAAAUGGGCACCUAGGAGCUGCACCCUAAACCAGUUUUUCUCUGUUGCCGGUGCACAAGCAGGUAAGGGCGGAUAGCAUUCCUAGUGCCAAUUCCUUUGCGGUCAACGAAAAACGCUUUUUGAACAACGCUCUUUCUGUUUUAAGUAUUGUGCAGGCCUUAAGUUUACUAUAAGAACAACAACAACAAAAAAAUCACUUUCCACUGCAGGUAAUGUGCAUCCAACGUUCCACUGGAUCUGUCCGAAGGGCAGGCUGAUACUGCGGCAGACGCCACUGAGCGGACACACUGCAAAAAGGCGUCGGGCGUUUUCCGAAGUUUGUCAACUGACCUAGAUCUGAGAACGUUGGUACAUGUAUUGCUACCGUUGCCAAGCAGGACUGGAGAUUGUUAGAGUGUGAACAAUGUUCACACUUUGGUCAAUGCAAGCACAUCUUUUUUUUUUAGUAAUAUUGACUAACAAGAUUGCAACAAUCAAACAAGUUAACACCGAAAUGUUAAAAGCAAUAAAGAAAUUAAAGCCCGGCUGUUCUGCGAGUGCAGAUUUUAUAUCUUGCUUUAUUUUAAGGGCUGCACUGAUUUGUUUGCCCCUUCAUUAAAGGGGCCCUGCAACCAUAUUUAAGCGUCUACCUUUUUUGCGGUUUCCACGUCUCUUGGCGUUCAGGCAAGC
This is a long non-coding RNA of Ixodes scapularis (black-legged tick), 1183 nucleotides long. RefSeq lists it as uncharacterized. The record is from RefSeq and is a predicted model, not a curated record. NCBI's taxonomy places the organism in Eukaryota, Metazoa, Arthropoda, Arachnida, Ixodida, Ixodidae. The transcript is spliced from 4 exons.